AACUUACUAAUAAUUUACAAUUAUUAAAAAUUUUCAUAGUAUAAUAUAAUAAUUGAGUCCCUAUCUUGAAAUCUCAAAGUUCAAGCACGUGUUAAAAGUAGAACGGGACUUGUUCGAAUAUUCUGAAUUUUUUUUUUGUAAAAAUUUCGGCAGCAUUUCUGCUUAUUUUUACCUAAAACCUCUUGCAAAUCCAAACUAAAACAACCAGCACCAAUUUUUCACAUUCAUAUAACUAAUAUUUAUAUCAUUAACAUAAUUUCAACUUAAUAACUAUCAUAUACUUUUCUUACCAUUUCAUUUAACCAUCUAAAUCUUAUAAUUCAACCUUCACUACCCAAAGUAAUAUGCAUAUUCAAGUGACUAUAUAACACAUAUGUACAUGCCACCUUUACCCAAAAGAAAAAUAUACAUCAACAAAUUUGUGUUGGAGUCGGGAAUGUUCUGGAUGCUGAACUGGGACACUUGACUUCUACUAAUCUGCGCACGGAAACAACCGUACGCUGAGUAUGGAUAUACUCAGUGAUAUUACCAUAAUUCAAAUUAUAUCAACAAUAGUAAAAACAUAAAUAUUAAAAUACCUAACAAUUAAUGUCAUAUGUACUAAUUCAUAAAUCAAUGUAUUUUCUCAAACUUAAAUUUAUAUCACUUAUGAAUAUACAUUUCAUACUUUUCUCUUAUUAUCACAAUUCCAAUUUCAAUUCGUAAUUCAAUUUAUUUUUCUCGUUUCAAUGCCUCAAAUUCACAUUUCAAUUUUUCACCCUAUUAACGUAACUCGGACUUUGGCGGAUACACGGAUCCAACCAAACACACCAAUAUGGCACCCAGUGCCUCAUCGGAUAGUUCGAAGUAAUAGUUGACACCCAGUGUCUCAUCAGCCUAGCCGAAGUAAAGUUGGUACCCGGUACCUCAUCGAAUCUAUCCGAAGAAAUAUAGUGACACCCAGUGUCUCAUCGACUCGAGGUCGGAGUAUCCCUGAACACUUCCAAUCCUAUGGCAUGCCAACUAUAUCCGACUUAGCCCGACUAGUUAAUAGGGUAUUCAAUUCACUUUCUCAAUCCUAUAUCACUUUCAAUUCACAAUUCAAAUCACCAAACAUUUUUCAAUCAAUACGCUUCUCAAAUAAUUACAUAUUCCAUAAUUCACUUAUUCAAUUCAAUUUGAUUCAAUUUGCAUCACUUUCAUUUUCACUCAAUAUUCAUAUCAAUUUCACAUACUUACCUCAAGUCUUACUUACCAUACAUAACAAUAAAAAAAAUUCAGCAAUCAAUAAUAAUUAAAAUUCGAAUUAUAGUAAUACACACAGUAAUUCUCCCGUUUUAGUCCUCGAUGACUUUCUCCUUUCCUUUCGAUGCUGAUGCUUCAGGUUCUUUGUUGGCUACGAAAAUAAUAAUUUAUAAUCAUCAAUACAACAUGAUUCAAUUUAAUUCAUGAGCCUAAACAUGCAAAUUUAACCAUUUUUAAUGUAUAUAUAUAAUUUCACCAUUAAGCUGUCUACUUGAGUCAUUGUUACUAAAUUAUUUAUAUCUUGAGUUACGAAACUCCAAAUUAAUAUCCGUAAAUUUUCCUUAAAACUAGACUCAUAUAUCUUCUAACCAUAAAAUUUUCAGAAUUUUUGGUCUAGCCAUUUAGUACAGUUUAUUCGUUAAAUACUCCCCUGUUAUUUCAUUUGACAGUUCUGACAUCUCUCUACUAAAAAUAAAUUAUCUCAUUGUACAGAACUCGAAUAAGGUUCUUGUUUAUUUAUUUUGAAACUAGAUUCAUUAAGGAGUUCACAUAUAUAAAUUACACUCCAUAAUAAUUUUUGUACAAUUUUUAAUGAUUUUCCAAAGUUAAAACAGGGCAUCUCGAAAUCACCCCGAACCAGUAUUACAAAAUUUCAAAUAUCUCUUGAUUCAUCAAUUAAUUGCUUACACUGUUUCUACUAUAAGAAACUAGACUCAAUAAGCUUUAAUUCCAUAUUUUGUUCAUCCACUAGUUCAAUUCAUAAAAUUUUUAGUGAAUUUUCAAAGUCAGACCAUUGCUACUUCCGAAAACUGUUUUGAUGUAAAAUGUUAAUAACCAAAUUUAUAACACCAAUUCACACCUUAUUCCUAUUCAAAUUUCAUUUAAACUCAAAUUUAAUUAUUAAAUUUUUAACAUAUUUUCUUAAUUCUGAAUUUUCCUCAAUUUAAUCCCUAAAACACAAAACUUAUAGCUUACUUUGCAAUUCAAUCCUUAUAUCUAUUCUAACUUGAAUUUCAUUCAAUUAAACCCCUAUUUCAUCAUUUUAUUCAACAUGAACUUUGUUUAAAAACCUAAGAACUUCCAAACUAACAACUUAAUUUCAUCAAAAACUUGUUUUAAGACUUCUAAAAUAUCAAAAUUAUGAGAAAAGGACUUGAUUGAGCUUACCAAUUAACUCCAAGCUUCAUAAACCUUAUUUCCCCUUUUCUUUCUUCUUUCCUUUCUUUCUCC
RNAcentral lists this long non-coding RNA (2454 nucleotides) under Gossypium barbadense (sea-island cotton). RNAcentral describes it as "long non-coding RNA (GBAR_LNC003628)". Lineage: Eukaryota; Viridiplantae; Streptophyta; Magnoliopsida; Malvales; Malvaceae. The record is from RNAcentral.